Molecule: ribosomal RNA, 253 nt
Filed under: uncultured bacterium
Lineage: Bacteria
Description: partial 16S ribosomal RNA
Rfam family: Bacterial small subunit ribosomal RNA
Source: RNAcentral
UACGAAGGGGGCUGGCGUUGCUCGGAAUCACUGGGCGUAAAGGGCGCGUAGGCGGCCAUUCAAGUCAGAGGUGAAAGCCCAAGGCUCAACCUUGGAACUGCCUUUGAUACUGUUUGGCUUGAGACCGGUAGAGGUAAGUGGAACUGCGAGUGUAGAGGUGAAAUUCGUAGAUAUUCGCAAGAACACCAGUGGCGAAGGCGGCUCACUGGACUGGUAUUGACGCUGAGGUGCGAAAGCGUGGGGAGCAAACAGG